CCUACGGGUAGCAGCAGUGAGGAAUAUUGGUCAAUGGGCUUACGCCUGAACCAGCCAAGUCGCGUGAGGGAAGACUGCCCUAUGGGUUGUAAACCUCUUUUGUCAGGGAGCAAUUGGCGCUACGUGUAGCGUUAUCGAGAGUACCUGAAGAAAAAGCAUCGGCUAACUCCGUGCCAGCAGCCGCGGUAAUACGGAGGAUGCGAGCGUUAUCCGGAUUUAUUGGGUUUAAAGGGUGCGUAGGCGGAAUGCCAAGUCAGCGGUAAAAUCGCGGGGCUCAACCUCGCUCCGCCGUUGAAACUGGCGGUCUUGAGUGGGCGAGAAGUAUGCGGAAUGCGUGGUGUAGCGGUGAAAUGCAUAGAUAUCACGCAGAACUCCGAUUGCGAAGGCAGCAUACCGGCGCCCAACUGACGCUGAAGCACGAAAGCGUGGGUAUCGAACAGGAUUAGAUACCCUGGUAGUC
RNAcentral lists this ribosomal RNA (460 nucleotides) under uncultured bacterium. RNAcentral's name for it is "partial 16S ribosomal RNA". It matches the Rfam family "Bacterial small subunit ribosomal RNA", at positions 338 to 795 of the family's 1533-position model. The record is from RNAcentral.